UGCCGGCGACCGGCGCAACGGGUGAGUAACACGUAUGUAACCUGCCCUAUGCAGGGGGAUAACCCGGAGAAAUCCGGCCUAAUACCGCGUAACACCUUUUGGGAGCAUUCCCGGGAGGUUAAAGGAGAGAUCCGGCAUAGGAUGGACAUGCGUCGCAUUAGGUAGACGGCGGGGUAACGGCCCACCGUGCCGACGAUGCGUAGGGGUUCUGAGAGGAAGGCCCCCCACACUGGUACUGAGACACGGACCAGACUCCUACGGGAGGCAGCAG
RNAcentral lists this ribosomal RNA (271 nucleotides) under uncultured bacterium. RNAcentral's name for it is "partial 16S ribosomal RNA". It matches the Rfam family "Bacterial small subunit ribosomal RNA", at positions 86 to 354 of the family's 1533-position model. The record is from RNAcentral.